GAUCAGGUAGAAUUGCAAUUUAUCAUUUGUGAUAAACUUUAGAUGAUUGAGGCAUUAUCCAUAGUCAGAACCAGGCUUUGCUUGAUAUUAUCAAUUGCCAGCACUAGGUUAUAUGUUUGUUUGCAUGCAUGUGUAUGUGCUGAGGUGGGUGGUUUGGAUUCACUUUCACUUUGGACAUUUAUUUUGGAAAAUUUUCUUCAUUAUGAUCCGGGCAGUAUGAGACUGAAAUUUUGGUGGGUGUCAAAUCUACUUGCAGUUCUCUUUUUUCUUAUCAACGCAAGGCUACAAUUAAUGUGAAGUAGAUAAAAUGGCAACUAACCAUUAAAUUCAUUAAUAUGUUAUGAUGGCAGCUUG
RNAcentral lists this unclassified non-coding RNA (354 nucleotides) under Hevea brasiliensis (rubber tree). Lineage: Eukaryota; Viridiplantae; Streptophyta; Magnoliopsida; Malpighiales; Euphorbiaceae. The record is from RNAcentral.